This 71-nucleotide transfer RNA is filed under the name Phoxocampus belcheri. RNAcentral's name for it is "tRNA-Trp". It matches the Rfam family "tRNA". Rfam says of the family: Transfer RNA (tRNA) molecules are approximately 80 nucleotides in length. Lineage: Eukaryota; Metazoa; Chordata; Actinopteri; Syngnathiformes; Syngnathidae. The record is from RNAcentral.
AAGGGUUUAGGCUAAAUUUAAACCAAGGGCCUUCAAAGCCCUAAAUAGAGGUGAGAGUCCUCUAACCCUUG